GGCUCGUUGGUCUAGGGGUAUGAUUCUCGCUUCGGGUGCGAGAGGUCCCGGGUUCAAAUCCCGGACCAACGAGCCA
Non-coding RNA from Astyanax mexicanus (Mexican tetra), 76 nucleotides. The record is from the annotation of a RefSeq genome assembly. Lineage: Eukaryota; Metazoa; Chordata; Actinopteri; Characiformes; Acestrorhamphidae.